UGCCAGCAGCCGCGGUAAUACGAAGGGUGCAAGCGUUGUUCGGAAUUAUUGGGCGUAAAGCGCGCGCAGGCGGAUUAACAAGUCAGAUGUGAAAUCUCGGGGCUCAACUCCGAAACUGCGUCUGAAACUAUUAAUCUAGGAUCUCGGAGGGGGAUGGGGAAUUUCUCAUGUAGAGGUAAAAUCCGUAGAGAUGAGAAGGAACACCUGAGGCGAAGGCGCCACCCUGGACGAGUAUCGACGCCGAGGCGCGAAGGCGUGGGUAGCGAACGGGAUUAGAUA
Molecule: ribosomal RNA, 279 nt
Filed under: uncultured bacterium
Lineage: Bacteria
Description: partial 16S ribosomal RNA
Rfam family: Bacterial small subunit ribosomal RNA
Source: RNAcentral